UAAAAAUACUUUAUUUCUAUCAAAUUAUAUGUACCCAAAAUUUAUCUACUUAUGAAAUUAUUUGUACAAAUUACGAUAUUUGCGCGUACAAUUUGUAACUGGUUUCAGUGAUGAAAAUUAAAUAAUAAAAUUAUUUUACAUGUGGUGUAAAAAUUUCAUGCCGGUUUGUGGGGCUGAUCUCCCAAUAUUUUUGCAGAUUGCAUAUUCAUAACCUGGAAUGUUCUUUGCAACUGUAUAGGGUUGAAACGAUGCGGUAAUGAUGUUAGUAAUCUGUACUUGAUUAUGAUAAUACCAUUUGGUCAUGCUUUUUAGUCUUCAAGUGCCUAUGUCAUGAUUUGUGUAAUUUAUUAUUUGUAAUCAUUGGUAUAUUUUAUGAAAAAAUGCAAUAUAUCUUUAAAAGAAAAUGUUCCAUCUUCACAGGAUUAUCAGGCCUCAAAGUUAUCGGAUAUGACAUCAAACUGGGAAUUGCAAAUUAGAUUUCUUUUGUUUCUAGCGUAUAAAAUUCCCGAUUUGACGUCAUAUCCGGUAACUUUGAGGGCUGAUAAUCCUAUGAAGAUGGUAUAUUUUCUAAUAAAGAUAUAUUGCAUUUCUUCAUAAA
Paramuricea clavata is the source of this 598-nucleotide non-coding RNA. NCBI's taxonomy places the organism in Eukaryota, Metazoa, Cnidaria, Anthozoa, Malacalcyonacea, Plexauridae. The record is from the annotation of a GenBank genome assembly.